Long non-coding RNA from Eleginops maclovinus (Patagonian blennie), 1569 nucleotides. RefSeq lists it as uncharacterized. The record is from RefSeq and is a predicted model, not a curated record. The transcript has 2 exons. NCBI's taxonomy places the organism in Eukaryota, Metazoa, Chordata, Actinopteri, Perciformes, Eleginopidae.
UCUCCAAUAGAUAAACAACUUCCGAAAGGAGAAUUUGCUGGACUGCGAAUAACUGUCGCUGGCUCCUUGAAAACUGAAAUCAUUCAGCAAAGUAAAGAGGAAGCAGUGGAGGAAUAAAGAUACAGAUUGUUGUUGUUUUUUUUUUACAGUGAUUCCUUUUCCUUCUGCUAGCUGAUUUUCCCUGCUUUUGAUGUGUUCAUCAAGAAGGAGUCACAGGAGUAGCGCAGGAAGCAGUAGAUCUCCUCGGCUCUGGAUCGACUCAUACAGCCUCCCUUCUGUAUGGCUUCAAUGGAGCUGCAGGAGGAGCACAAAAGGGGAAAGGACACUGUUCAAAGAGUGAAAAAGGAGCUGACUACAUGUUUGCCCGUGAUGUACACACACUUCCUUUACCUGUUUAUGAGUUGGCCGAUGGAGCUGAAGUUGUGGCACAUGCUGAGGGCAUGGACGUAGUUGACUGAGGGCAGGCUGAGGUAUAGCUGCAGGGCCUGCUGCCUGUGCGGCCCUUUGACCUCCAUUGGUACAGCGAUGGCCUGACCUUUACGCUGCUCCAGCCGGGCCAGGUCUGCCAGCAGGCCGGCACUCUGCUCAGCGCCGUCGCUCCACAGCAGCCGCACCCCCGUAUGCACCAGAGCCGUCAGAGUGCUGUCAUAGCAACGUGUUCGCUGAAACGGACGUGACACCUCACCUGUGAGGGGGACAAUUAUCAUAAGCAGCAGUGCUGAUCAAAUCAACAGACUGACUGACCUGGCUUGGUCCGGUCCUUCUCCACUAUGAGACAAACGCGCUCGAACAACCCCUGCAGGCUGUUCACUCUCUCAGCCAAUCGCUUCCGGUUCUGCGUCGCCGCCAAAUCUGAUUGGCUGUGCCUCUCCACUGCCGUACGGUUGCUGACGAUGAAGUAGCUGCCGUCCAGUGAGCAGACGUGGAGGGUGGCCGUGUGGCGCUGGCGGAGGCUGGUCAUCAGCUCCACUCCGCCACUGAGGCAGCGGCUGUCCACCAGGAUGCAAACGGUGCCGGGCGGAGCGGGAGGCUCACUGACAGAUGAACUCUGAGCUGAGGACGUCUGUGGCACUGAUGUGGAGGCAGUGAGGGCCUGGACCUGGAGGGAAACCUCAAUGUAGCUUUAUUGACUUAUAAGAAUGUUUUAGGGAUCACGUGUAGGGUAUCCCUUCUAACACAUGGUAUAACCCAUAAGCGUGUGUGUAUGUGUCAUGUUUGCUCAUACCUGGGGAUGUUUCUUGGAGGAUACCGGCAGAUCUGACUCUGCAAAGUCUAGUUCAUCAGAGAGCAAAUGCUGAUUUUCUAAUCUCCGGCGAUACCUGCAGGAGAAAGAAAAUGAUUCUCUAGUGGUUGUUGAACGUUUCCUCAAUGUUCCCUGCACAAUAAUCAAAAACUCACCUUAACUUUUUCUAUCGUUGUUUUUUUAUUUAAUCAUUACAUUUGUAGUUCAUGUUCAAAAAGUAUAUUGUUUUCCUUGUAAAGAGACCAUGAUAUUCCCUGCUUUUGUUCAACAUUUUUGGCAACAUAACAGUUCAAUAUGGUCAUGCUAAUAAAGCUAUUUGAAUUGAA